Molecule: ribosomal RNA, 347 nt
Filed under: uncultured microorganism
Description: bacterial SSU rRNA
Rfam family: Bacterial small subunit ribosomal RNA
Source: RNAcentral
GAGUUUGAUCUUGGCUCAGAUUGAACGCUGGCGGCAUGCCUUACACAUGCAAGUCGAACGGCAGCAUGAUCUAGCUUGCUAGAUUGAUGGCGAGUGGCGAACGGGUGAGUAAUACAUCGGAACGUGCCCUGUAGUGGGGGAUAACUAGUCGAAAGAUUAGCUAAUACCGCAUACGACCUGAGGGUGAAAGUGGGGGACCGCAAGGCCUCAUGCUAUAGGAGCGGCCGAUGUCUGAUUAGCUAGUUGGUGGGUAAAGGCCCGACCAAGGCGACGAUCAGUAGCUGGUCUGAGAGGACGAGUCAGCCACACUGGGACUGAGACACGGCCCAGACUCCUACGGGAGGCAG